Molecule: ribosomal RNA, 253 nt
Filed under: uncultured bacterium
Lineage: Bacteria
Description: partial 16S ribosomal RNA
Rfam family: Bacterial small subunit ribosomal RNA
Source: RNAcentral
UACGGAGGGGGCUAGCGUUGUUCGGAAUUACUGGGCGUAAAGCGCACGUAGGCGGCUUUGUAAGUUAGAGGUGAAAGCCCGGGGCUCAACUCCGGAAUUGCCUUUAAGACUGCAUCGCUAGAAUUGUGGAGAGGUAAGUGGAAUUCCGAGUGUAGAGGUGAAAUUCGUAGAUAUUCGGAAGAACACCAGUGGCGAAGGCGGCUCACUGGCCCGGUACUGACGCUGAGGUGCGAAAGCGUGGGGAGCAAACGGG